This 71-nucleotide transfer RNA is filed under the name Anguilla anguilla (European eel). It matches the Rfam family "tRNA". Rfam says of the family: Transfer RNA (tRNA) molecules are approximately 80 nucleotides in length. Their secondary structure includes four short double-helical elements and three loops (D, anti-codon, and T loops). The record is from Rfam by way of RNAcentral. Lineage: Eukaryota; Metazoa; Chordata; Actinopteri; Anguilliformes; Anguillidae.
GCAUUGGUGGCUCAGCGGUAGAGCUCUCGCCUGCCACGCUGGAGGCCCGGGUUCGUUUCCCAGCCACUGGG